Molecule: non-coding RNA, 73 nt
Organism: Absidia repens
Lineage: Eukaryota; Fungi; Mucoromycota; Mucoromycetes; Mucorales; Cunninghamellaceae
Source: Rfam
GCCCGUGUGAUCUAGUGGCUAUGAUGUUUGCUUUACACGCAAAAUGUCUCCGGUUCGACCCCGGACGUGGGCA